This 82-nucleotide transfer RNA is filed under the name Pseudomonas sp. RNAcentral describes it as "tRNA-Tyr". It matches the Rfam family "tRNA". Rfam says of the family: Transfer RNA (tRNA) molecules are approximately 80 nucleotides in length. Their secondary structure includes four short double-helical elements and three loops (D, anti-codon, and T loops). Lineage: Bacteria; Pseudomonadati; Pseudomonadota; Gammaproteobacteria; Pseudomonadales; Pseudomonadaceae. RNAcentral also lists the same sequence under 6 other names. The record is from RNAcentral.
GGAGGGAUGUCCGAGUGGUUAAAGGAGACGGGCUGUAAACCCGUUGGCUCUGCCUACGCAGGUUCGAAUCCUGCUCCCUCCA